GCCCACGCAGGAUCAGUUUGGGAAGGACGGCAUCCCGUGGGAGGGACCGCAUGUGGAGCAGGGGCAGAGAGUGACCAUGAAGGAGCGGUGGAGAUGAAGUGUUAGGAACUGACCACAGCCCCCAUUCCCAAUUUCUCUGUGCCACUUGGGGGGGAAGGAUGUAGAAGAGAGUGGAUGGGGGGAAGGUGUUUUUAGUUUCUUUAGAAAUUUGUUAAUAAGUUGACAAUUGAGAGCUAUAAUAGCAUGCACCUGUGAAAAACAGCUUGAUCAAGGAGGUAGGCAAAUGCGUACCAUAAUAAUUCAGAUAACUCACUACCAUUUGACUUUGAAACAGGAGGAGAAAACAAGCUCACAUGUGGAAAUGAGAUGCGAGGGAUUUUUGAAAAAGGUUUUAUUCAAUCAUAAUACAGCUGUGGAAAACAGGAAGUGAGAUGUCUAGUAGAAGGAGGCAGAAGUACAAAAUGCCUUGAUGGGAUCUAAACUAGCUGAUCCUUUGUAAGGAAAGUCAUAGAUGUGUAAUACAUCACCUCCCAAACACUAUGUGACAGCUGAUGGCUCGAUAAGAGUGCUUUUUCCAGCUGGCACUGGCACAACUCCCCAGAAACAGGCCGUGUCAGCAUUGCUUCCUGAGAGCUACCCUUGGCCAGCUCUGCCUGCAAACAGUUAUUCACUGGAAAGGAUAGUUUUCUACGCAGAACUAUGAAUCUCUGCUUGAAAUGCAGAAUUAAUGUUUUUCAACAACUGAUCUUCGGUAUGUUUUUAAGGUAGGAAAAGCUCUAAUCUGUAAAAACUUUUAUAUUAGUAUGUCUGGGUCCUUAAAACAUUACUGUAAGUUGAAAACAUUGGCCAAGCAUUCACUUUGCAGAUCACGUUCUCAGUUCAGUUCCCAUGGUUACCAUGAAGGAAGUGCUUGUGUAACAUCCAGCUCAGGGUAAGAUGAACCCCUGAGAUGAACAGGCAUAAAGGGAACCAUGGCGUCAGAAAGAGGCAGGCUGUAACAAGCGUGAUUGCUCUUAGAUUAAUAAUGCCUGGAGAUCUUCCAAGAGUACUGUUUCUUAAUGAUAGUGAACCAAUUAAUAGGUAGUGUGAUAAUGAUAAAAAUUAAGAUGCUUCUUGGGGAAGGGAAGAGUUGAUUUAAGAACUGCUGGAAACACUUCGUCAUUUUCUAUGAUUCAGGGGACAUAGGAUAGUUUUCACCCAUAA
RNAcentral lists this long non-coding RNA (1203 nucleotides) under Anser brachyrhynchus (Pink-footed goose). RNAcentral describes it as "lncRNA (ENSABRG00000018877.1)". The record is from RNAcentral. Lineage: Eukaryota; Metazoa; Chordata; Aves; Anseriformes; Anatidae.